UGGCUCAGGAUGAACGCUGGCGGUAUGCUUAACACAUGCAAGUCGAACGGUCCUUUCGGGGAUAGUGGCGGACGGGUGAGUAACGCGUGAGAAUCUGCCUUUAGGACGGGGACAACAGUUGGAAACGGCUGCUAAAACCCGAUGUGCCCUUCGGGGUGAAAUAUUUAUAGCCUGAAGAUGAGCUCGCGUCUGAUUAGCUAGUAGGUGAGGUAAAGGCUCACCUAGGCGACGAUCAGUAACUGGUCUGAGAGGAUGACCAGUCACACUGGGACUGAGACACGGCCCAGACUCCUACGGGAGGCAGCAGUGGGGAAUUUUCCGCAAUGGGCGCAAGCCUGACGGAGCAAUACCGCGUGAGGGAGGAAGGCUCUUGGGUCGUAAACCUCUUUUAUCAGGGAAGAACACAAUGACGGUACCUGAUGAAUCAGCAUCGGCUAACUCUGUGCCAGCAGCCGCGGUAAUACAGAGGAUGCAAGCGUUAUCCGGAAUUAUUGGGCGUAAAGCGUCCGCAGGUGGUUUUGAAAGUUUGCUGUCAAAGCGCGAGGCUCAACUUCGUAACGGCGGUGAAAACUUCAAGACUAGAGCUAGGUAGGGGUCACGGGAAUUCCCAGUGUAGCGGUGAAAUGCGUAGAUAUUGGGAAGAACACCAGCGGCGAAAGCGCGUGACUGGGCCUGAGCUGACACUCAUGGACGAAAGCUAGGGGAGCGAAAGGGAUUAGAUACCCCUGUAGUCCUAGCCGUAAACGA
This 747-nucleotide ribosomal RNA is filed under the name cyanobacterium cWHL-1. RNAcentral's name for it is "bacterial SSU rRNA". It matches the Rfam family "Bacterial small subunit ribosomal RNA", at positions 20 to 809 of the family's 1533-position model. Lineage: Bacteria; Bacillati; Cyanobacteriota. The record is from RNAcentral.